RNAcentral lists this ribosomal RNA (357 nucleotides) under Betaproteobacteria bacterium. RNAcentral's name for it is "bacterial SSU rRNA". It matches the Rfam family "Bacterial small subunit ribosomal RNA", at positions 1178 to 1533 of the family's 1533-position model. The record is from RNAcentral. Lineage: Bacteria; Pseudomonadati; Pseudomonadota; Betaproteobacteria.
GAUGACGUCAAGUCCUCAUGGCCCUUAUGGGUAGGGCUUCACACGUCAUACAAUGGUCGGUACAGAGGGUCGCCAACCCGCGAGGGGGAGCCAAUCCCAUAAAACCGAUCGUAGUCCGGAUUGCAGUCUGCAACUCGACUGCAUGAAGUCGGAAUCGCUAGUAAUCGCGGAUCAGCAUGUCGCGGUGAAUACGUUCCCGGGUCUUGUACACACCGCCCGUCACACCAUGGGAGUGGGUUUUACCAGAAGUAGUUAGCCUAACCGCAAGGGGGGCGAUUACCACGGUAGGUCUCAUGACUGGGGUGAAGUCGUAACAAGGUAGCCGUACCGGAAGGUGCGGCUGGAUCACCUCCUUUC